RNAcentral lists this unclassified non-coding RNA (287 nucleotides) under Hevea brasiliensis (rubber tree). The record is from RNAcentral. Lineage: Eukaryota; Viridiplantae; Streptophyta; Magnoliopsida; Malpighiales; Euphorbiaceae.
CAUUUGUUGGAUGUUCACUUGAAGGGAGUGUUGUCACCACUCGGUCGAAAGAGAAUUCCAGAUUCUAUGGGAGCCAGUCAAUAACUGCAUCUGAUAUACUUCUUGGCUCAUUACCAAGGCCACCUGCUGCAUCAAUUCUUUAUCGUGCACUUGCAGACCUAUCUCAGAAGCUUGAUAGGUGAUUCACUGGGGUUCAGUAUCAAUCUCACCUGUUAAUUGUUUGUACAUAAGGUUUCUUCACGACCAUUCUUUGCCCAAGUGGAAUUGAAAGUAUUGUAUUUACAUCC